RNAcentral lists this ribosomal RNA (255 nucleotides) under uncultured bacterium. Its description in RNAcentral is "partial 16S ribosomal RNA". It matches the Rfam family "Bacterial small subunit ribosomal RNA", at positions 524 to 776 of the family's 1533-position model. The record is from RNAcentral.
UACAGAGGUCCCGAGCGUUGUUCGGAUUCAUUGGGCGUAAAGGGUGCGUAGGCGGCUUCCUAAGUUUGAUGUGAAAUCCUGGGGCUCAACCCUGGAACUGCAUUGAAUACUGGGAGGCUAGAGUACUGGAGAGGAAACUGGAAUUUACGGUGUAGCAGUGAAAUGCGUAGAGAUCGUAAGGAAGACCAGUGGCGAAGGCGAGUUUCUGGACAGUUACUGACGGCUGAGGCAACGAAGGCCAGGGGAGCAAACGGG